UUUAAGUGCAACUAUAAGUUUCUAUACCAACCUUCGAUGGUUAUUUAUAUUUGAUUUUUUUUAAAUUAGUAUUUUUGUUAUUAUUAAAUGAUAAAAUAUAAAUAGUAUUUUAUUUGUAGCUAAUGUUUUUAAAUUUUUUAAAUAAAACGAACAAUCAAAGUUGGCUAUCGAAAAUCAUGGCAUCAUCGGGG
This 191-nucleotide microRNA precursor is filed under the name Oryza meridionalis. Its description in RNAcentral is "MIR812 microRNA precursor family". It matches the Rfam family "MIR812 microRNA precursor family". The record is from Rfam by way of RNAcentral. Lineage: Eukaryota; Viridiplantae; Streptophyta; Magnoliopsida; Poales; Poaceae.